This 477-nucleotide ribosomal RNA is filed under the name uncultured bacterium. Its description in RNAcentral is "bacterial SSU rRNA". It matches the Rfam family "Bacterial small subunit ribosomal RNA", at positions 365 to 832 of the family's 1533-position model. The record is from RNAcentral.
UUCGCAAUGCCCGAAAGGGUGACGAAGCGACGCCGCGUGUGGGAAGAAGGCCUUCGGGUUGUAAACCACUGUUGGGAGUUAGGAAGUGUGGAGGUGUUAAUAGCGCUUUCACUUGACUAAAGCUCCAGAGGAAGCCACGGCUAACUCUGUGCCAGCAGCCGCGGUAAUACAGAGGCGGCAAGCGUUGUUCGGAAUUAUUGGGCGUAAGGAGCACGUAGGCGGCUCUGCAAGUCAGCUGUGAAAGCCUUCUGCUUAACGGAAGAACGGCAGUUGAAACUACAGGGCUUGAGUGCGGGAGGGGAGAGUGGAACUUCUGGUGGAGCGGUGAAAUGCGUAGAUAUCAGAAGGAACGCCGGCGGCGAAAGCGGCUCUCUGGUCCGUAACUGACGCUGAGUGUGCGAAAGCUAGGGGAGCAAACGGGAUUAGAUACCCCGGUAGUCCUAGCCGUAAACGAUGGGCACUAAGUAGAGGGGUUUU